AUUGAACGCUGGCGGUAGGCCUAACACAUGCAAGUCGAACGGCAGCACAGGAGAGCUUGCUCUCUGGGUGGCGAGUGGCGGACGGGUGAGGAAUACAUCGGAAUAUACUUUUUCGUGGGGGAUAACGUAGGGAAACUUAAGCUAAUACCGCAUACGACCUACGGGUGAAAGCAGGGGAUCUUCGGACCUUGCGCGAUUGAAUGAGCCGAUGUCGGAUUAGCUAGUUGGCGGGGUAAAGGCCCACCAAGGCGACGAUCCGUAGCUGGUCUGAGAGGAUGAUCAGCCACACUGGAACUGAGACACGGUCCAGACUCCUACGGGAGGCAGCAGUGGGGAAUAUUGGACAAUGGGCGCAAGCCUGAUCCAGCCAUACCGCGUGGGUGAAGAAGGCCUUCGGGUUGUAAAGCCCUUUUGUUGGGAAAGAAAUCCAGCUGGUUAAUACCCGGUUGGGAUGACGGUACCCAAAGAAUAAGCACCGGCUAACUUCGUGCCAGCCGCCGCCGUAA
RNAcentral lists this ribosomal RNA (506 nucleotides) under uncultured bacterium. RNAcentral's name for it is "partial 16S ribosomal RNA". It matches the Rfam family "Bacterial small subunit ribosomal RNA", at positions 30 to 523 of the family's 1533-position model. The record is from RNAcentral.